UGGGGAAUUUUGCACAAUGGGGGAAACCCUGAUGCAGCGACGCCGCGUGAUUUAGAAGGCCUUCGGGUUGUAAAAAUCUUUUCUAUGGGAUGAAAAUGACAGUACCAUAAGAAUAAGGUCCGGCUAAAUACGUGCCAGCAGCCGCGGUAAUACGUAUGGACCGAGCGUUGUCCGGAAUCAUUGGGCGUAAAGGGUACGUAGGCGGCCCAGUAAGUUAGAAGUGAAAUAAUAUAGCUCAACUAUAUAAAGCUUUUAAAACUGCUAGGCUUGAGAGAUGGAAGGGAAAGUGGAAUUCCUAGUGUAGCGGUGAAAUGCGCAGAUAUUAGGAAGAAUACCGGUGGCGAAGGCGACUUUCUGGUCAUCAUCUGACGCUGAGGUACGAAAGCGUGGGUAGCAAACAGG
RNAcentral lists this ribosomal RNA (402 nucleotides) under Verrucomicrobiota bacterium. Its description in RNAcentral is "Verrucomicrobia bacterium partial 16S ribosomal RNA". It matches the Rfam family "Bacterial small subunit ribosomal RNA", at positions 355 to 776 of the family's 1533-position model. Lineage: Bacteria; Pseudomonadati; Verrucomicrobiota. The record is from RNAcentral.